GGGUCAGUAGGUUGGUCGUGCCACCGGUACGUACUGGUCUCACUGAUUCCUCCUUCCUGAAGAACCGUAAUGCCAUUAAUUUGGUGUUGCGGGGAAACAGGACGGUUACUUUGAAAAAAUUAGAGUGUUUAAAGCAAGCUAACGCUUGAAUACAUUAGCAUGGAAUAAUGAAAUAGGACGAUCGAUCCUAUUUUAUUGGUUUCUAGGAUUGACGUA
This 216-nucleotide ribosomal RNA is filed under the name Glomeromycotina sp. Its description in RNAcentral is "partial small subunit ribosomal RNA". The stretch from base 40 to 216 matches the Rfam family "Eukaryotic small subunit ribosomal RNA", at positions 686 to 864 of the family's 1831-position model. Lineage: Eukaryota; Fungi; Glomeromycota. The record is from RNAcentral.